GAUGAACGCUGGCGGCGUGCCGAAUACAUGCAAGUCGAGCGAACGGACGAGAAGCUUGCUUCUCUGAUGUUAGCGGCGGACGGGUGAGUAACACGUGGAUAACCUACCUAUAAGACUGGGAUAACUUCGGGAAACCGGAGCUAAUACCGGAUAAUAUUUUGAACCCCAUGGUUCAAAAGUGAAAGACGGUCUUGCUGUCACUUAUAGAUGGAUCCGCGCUGCAUUAGCUAGUUGGUAAGGUAACGGCUUAACAAGGCAACGAUGCAUAGCCGACCUGAGAGGGUGAUCGGCCACACUGGAACUGAGACACGGUCCAGACUCCUACGGGAGGCAGCAGUAGGGAAUCUUCCGCAAUGGGCGAAAGCCUGACGGAGCAACGCCGCGUGAGUGAUGAAGGUCUUCGGAUCGUAAAACUCUGUUAUUAGGGAAGAAAAUAUGUGUAAGUAACUGUGCACAUCUUGACGGUACCUAAUCAGAAAGCCACGGCUAACUACGUG
Molecule: ribosomal RNA, 497 nt
Filed under: uncultured bacterium
Lineage: Bacteria
Description: partial 16S ribosomal RNA
Rfam family: Bacterial small subunit ribosomal RNA
Source: RNAcentral